This 1274-nucleotide ribosomal RNA is filed under the name metagenome. RNAcentral's name for it is "bacterial SSU rRNA". It matches the Rfam family "Bacterial small subunit ribosomal RNA", at positions 8 to 1251 of the family's 1533-position model. The record is from RNAcentral.
AGAGUUUGAUCCUGGCUCAGAACGAACGCUGGCGGCGUGCCUAACACAUGCAAGUCGAACGAGAAACUCCGAGCUUGCUCGGAGGAGUAAAGUGGCGCACGGGUGAGUAACGCGUGGGUAACCCGCCCUUGAAUUUGGGAUAACCCCGUGAAAACGGGACUAAUACCGGAUAUUGUCCUGAGAACUUUGGUUCUCGGGAUGAAAGGUGACCUCUUCAUGAAAGUUGCCGUUCAGGGAAGGGCUCGCGUACCAUUAGCUUGUUGGUAGGGUAACGGCCUACCAAGGCUACGAUGGUUAGCUGGUCUGAGAGGAUGAUCAGCCACACUGGAACUGAAACACGGUCCAGACUCCUACGGGAGGCAGCAGUGAGGAAUUUUGCGCAAUGGGGGAAACCCUGACGCAGCAACGCCGCGUGAGUGAAGAAGGCCUUCGGGUCGUAAAGCUCUGUCAAGUGGGAAAAAAUGUCCCGGGUAAAUAGCCCGGGAAACUGAUGGUACCACUGGAGGAAGCACCGGCUAACUCCGUGCCAGCAGCCGCGGUAAUACGGAGGGUGCAAGCGUUGUUCGGAUUUACUGGGCGUAAAGAGCGUGUAGGCGGUUUGAAAAGUCAGAUGUGAAAGCCCUGGGCUCAACCCGGGAAGUGCAUUUGAAACUUUCUUACUUGAGUAUGGGAGAGGAGAGUGGAAUUCCCAGUGUAGAGGUGAAAUUCGUAGAUAUUGGGAGGAACACCCGUGGCGAAGGCGACUCUCUGGACCAAUACUGACGCUGAGACGCGAAAGCGUGGGGAGCAAACAGGAUUAGAUACCCUGGUAGUCCACGCUGUAAACGAUGAGAACUAGGUGUAGCGGGUAUUGACCCCUGCUGUGCCGAAGUUAACGCAUUAAGUUCUCCGCCUGGGGAGUACGGCCGCAAGGCUAAAACUCAAAGGAAUUGACGGGGGCCCGCACAAGCGGUGGAGCAUGUGGUUUAAUUCGACGCAACGCGAAGAACCUUACCUGGGUUUGACAUCCUCUGACCGUCUGGGAAACCAGAUUUAUCCGGUUCUGCCGGAACAGAGUGACAGGUGCUGCAUGGCUGUCGUCAGCUCGUGUCGUGAGAUGUUGGGUUAAGUCCCGCAACGAGCGCAACCCUUAUUUUUAGUUGCCAGUAUUAAGUUAGGCACUCUAAAGAGACUGCCUCGGUUAACGAGGAGGAAGGUGGGGAUGACGUCAAGUCCUCAUGGCCUUUAUACCCAGGGCUACACACGUGCUACAAUGGGCUGUACAAAGGGUCGCU